Molecule: ribosomal RNA, 407 nt
Filed under: uncultured Glomus
Lineage: Eukaryota; Fungi; Glomeromycota; Glomeromycetes; Glomerales; Glomeraceae
Description: SSU rRNA
Rfam family: Eukaryotic small subunit ribosomal RNA
Source: RNAcentral
AGCAGCCGCGGUAAUUCCAGCUCCAAUAGCGUAUAUUAAAGUUGUUGCAGUUAAAAAACUCGUAGUUGAAUUUCGGGGUCAAUACGUCGGUCGUGCCUCCGGUAUGUACUGGUGUUAUUGAUCUCUCCCUUCUGAUAAACCAUGAUGUCAUUAAUUUGGUGUCGUGGGGAGUCAGGACUGUUACUUUGAAAAAUUGAGUGUUUAAAGCAGGCUCACGCUUGAAUACAUUAGCAUGGAAUAAUGAAAUAGGACGUUCGAUCCUAUUUUGUUGGUUUCUAGGAUCAACGUAAUGAUUAGUAGGGAUAGUUGGGGGCAUUAGUAUUCAAUUGUCAGAGGUGAAAUUCUUGGAUUUAUUGAAGACUAACUACUGCGAAAGCAUUUGCCAAGGAUGUUUUCAUUAAUCAAGA